GGCAAGGGGGGGCACUUGCCUCCCCCCCUGCAUUUUUCAGCUUGUUCUGCUAAUUUUCGUGAGAUUGAAAAUACAGUGCAAUACCGGCGCCGGCCAGUAGGUGUUUAUGGAGAGAGACUGGGAUAGGAAGCUGCAUCUUAUCCCUGCUUCUCUCUGACUGAAUCCGCAGGGGAGCAACACAUACAGGCAGCAGAGAGAGCCUACAUAUCAGGGAAGUGAGGC
Molecule: non-coding RNA, 222 nt
Organism: Pelobates cultripes (western spadefoot toad)
Lineage: Eukaryota; Metazoa; Chordata; Amphibia; Anura; Pelobatidae
Source: the annotation of a GenBank genome assembly